UGGGGAGCAUCAUGAAUACCUUGCUAUAUACUCGACUUGAUAUAAUCUUGCUGAGAGUGUUACGAGCAGAUAUCAGUCAAAUCCAGAUGUAUGAUACUUGAUAGCUGUGAAGAAUAUCUUUAAGUACUUAAAAAGCAUUAAGGAUUUGUUCUUAUUUUUUUGGAGGAGGAUUUGAGUAACAAGAUUUAAGAAUACAUAGAUUUAGAUUUUGC
This 212-nucleotide long non-coding RNA is filed under the name Elaeis guineensis (African oil palm). RNAcentral describes it as "long non-coding RNA (EGUI_LNC022815)". The record is from RNAcentral. Lineage: Eukaryota; Viridiplantae; Streptophyta; Magnoliopsida; Arecales; Arecaceae.